AGUCAUAUGCAAAAGCUCGAUUCUUGUCGACUUGAAAAAACGCUACUUCUAGUUCUACUCAGCAGUUAGGAUCAAUGGAAACUUCUAAAAAGAUCGAUGUUCUUGAAAAGCUCGUCCUUUCAGCAAGAGAACGCUGCUAAAUGAUUUCUGGUGAAUUGUCUAACUUGAGACAACACUGUGUUAAAAUAAUCAACGAGGAAAGGCUUCGUCGUAUGAAUUUUACUGGCGAUAUUAUGCUACGAACUUGUUCAUUUUCAAAACUGCAGUUCCCUGAAAGCCAAAUUGAAAGAUCAGGACCCAAUGUCCCUGUUAGAGGAGCACCUUUGAACAUUGCUUUUAUUAAUCUUGCCAUCUUUACCAUUGUUGGAUAAACAUCUUUGUCGCUGUUGGAAGAAGAUCACAUUUGAACAUUGUUUUUAUUAAUCUUGCCAACUUUACGAUUAUUGGAUAAACAUCUAUGCUGUUGUUGGAA
Molecule: long non-coding RNA, 472 nt
Organism: Xenia sp. Carnegie-2017
Lineage: Eukaryota; Metazoa; Cnidaria; Anthozoa; Malacalcyonacea; Xeniidae
Exons: 2
Source: RefSeq, a predicted model, not a curated record